RNAcentral lists this non-coding RNA (24 nucleotides) under Arabidopsis thaliana (thale cress). Lineage: Eukaryota; Viridiplantae; Streptophyta; Magnoliopsida; Brassicales; Brassicaceae. The record is from RNAcentral.
ACCUUGUCACCAUCUGCUAUCAUU